GGAGGACAAAAACAGAGAAAAGAAGAAAAAAGAAAUAGAGCUUUGGAUAUAGUAUUGUACUGUUUUUGUUUUGAUUUAUUUAAUAUCAAGGGCCAUUCUAGUUUUGGAAUUUCAUAGGCCCUUUUAAUUCAUCGUUUAUUUUUGUUAUCAUUGAUCGUAAUCUUUUUUUUUUUCAAAUAGAAAGAAUAAAUAUACGAUGGCGGUGUAUUAUAAAUUUAAGAGUACAAGAGAUUAUGAUUCAAUUCCCAUGGACGGUCCUUUCAUCUCUGUUGGAACAUUGAAAGAAAAAAUAUUUGAAUCCAAGCAUUUAGGCAGGGGUACUGAUUUUGUUCUCGUGGUAACCAACGCCCAGACCAAUGAAGAAUAUCUUGAUGAAGCAAUGCUGAUUCCUAAAAAUACCUCAUUGUUAAUUCGUCGGGUUCCUGGUCGGCCACGUUUACCAAUUGUUACUGAACUAGAGCAAAAAAAGGUGGACUUUACGGCUAUGGAAGCCGAACCUGAAAACAGCAGCUUACCAGCUGAAGAUGCAUCUGCUCCAGAAGAUUCAGAUUGGGAUGAAUUUGGAAAUGAUUUGUAUGAGAUUCCUGAUGUACCACCCAUUCAAUCAAGCAACUUAAUUCCUGAAGCUCCUCCAACCAACAAAGCUGAUGAAGAAAGUAAGAUAAAGGCUUUGAUUGAUACUCCUGCCUUGGAUUGGCAACGUCAAGGAUCGGACUUUGGUGCUGGUAGAGGUUUUGGAAGAGGUAUGGGUGGACGGAUGGGGGGUGGUCGUGGUUUUGGGAUGGAGUGGAAAACACCUCCCCAAGGCUAUGUAUGUCACAGGUGCAAGGUUCCUGGCCAUUUUAUUCAGCACUGCCCUACAAACGGUGAUCCAAGUUAUGACAUCAAGAGAGUUAAACAACCUACUGGUAUUCCGAGAUCCAUGCUGAUGGUGAACUCACAAGGUUCCUAUGCUCUACCAAAUGGUUCAGUAGCUGUAUUGAAGCCAAAUGAGGCUGCUUUUGAGAAAGAAAUAGAAGGUUUACCUUCCACCACACGUUCUGUUGGGGAUCUACCACCUGAGCUCCACUGCCCCUUGUGCAAUGAUGUGAUGAAAGAUGCUGUGCUGACAAGCAAGUGCUGUUUUAAAAGCUUUUGUGACAAAUGUAUUAGGGACUAUAUUAUCUCCAAGUCCAUGUGCAUAUGUGGUGCAACAAAUAUUCUUGCAGAUGAUCUUUUACCAAAUAAGACCCUAAGAGAUACUAUUAAUCGUAUAUUGGAGUCAGGCAAUAGCAGUGCUGAAAACGCUGGGAGCACCUUUCAAGUUCAAGAUAUGGAGUCUGCUCGUUGUCCACAACUGAAGCUUCCAUCUCCAACCUCAUCGGCUGCAUCUAAGGGAGAACCAAAGGUUUCACAUGUUCAUGAAGGAAUGACAAAUGUACUGGAAACUGUUGAUGAUAAAAAAACAGUUUCUGCUCCAGCUCCAUUGCAAACAUCAGAGCAAGUGAAGCCCAGAAUGCCUGAUGUAAGUGAAGCUACACAUGAGUCGAUGAGUGUAAAGGAACCAGCCUCACAAGGGAGUGCUCAGUUGGUUGAGGAGGAAGUCCAGCAAAAAAUGGUUCCUGCCGAGGCAGGAAAGAAGAAAAAAAGGAAGAAAGUCCAUUUGCCUGCAAAUGAUUUUCAGUGGAAAACCCCACACGACCUUGGGGCUGAGAGCUACAUGAUGCCAAUGGGCCCAGCACCUGGUUACAAUUCAUACUGGAAUGGCAUGCAACCUUGUAUGGAAGGAUUUAUGGGACCAUAUGGUGGCCCGAUGCAAAUGAUGGGUUAUGGCCUGGGCCCCUUGGACAUGCCAUUUGCAGGUGGUCUGCCUCAUGAUCCAUUUGGCAUGCAGGGUUACAUGAUGCCUGUUGUUCCACCUCAUAGGGAUCUUGCUGCUGAGUAUGGCAUGGGGAUGAAUGUUCCACCUCCAGUUAUGAGUAGAGAGGAGUUUGAAGCUCGGAAAGCUGAUCGUUGGAGAAAGCGUGAAAAUGAGAAACGGAUUGAUAGGGAUUUCUCCAAAGAUCGAGAUUUUGGUAGGGAAGCGAGCAGUAUUGGGGAUGUUCCUAUGAAAUAAAAAACUAAAUCACUUCCAGCACCUCCAAGUAGUGAGUACCACCAUCCCCAAUCCCAUCGUCACCGUGGGGAACGUGGGGCACCUGAUCGGUCUCCAUGUGAGGUGGAGCCGCCAAGUCCUAUCAAGAGAAAAGCUGACUACCAUGUGGAUUGGGAACGGGAAUGGGGAUGGAAAUGUGAACGUGAUCAUGAUCAUGAUCGAGAAAGAGGCCAUCACCACCAUCGCCACCACCGGUCAGAAUCCUCUUCCCGGAUGUCAUCUGAACCACCAAAACCUCCUCAACUGCACCAUCAUCUGCAGCUGCAGACCGCAAGCAGAAGGCCAGUGUUCUCUCCCGCAUAAGCAGCUUCCCCGCUGAGGAAGAAAUGACCAAGAAGAGGAAGAUAUCUGCCUUUCCCACAACUGAAGCUGCUUCAGCUGGUCCCCUGCCACAUCUUCAGCACAUCUCCAGGCCGCAUCUCAGCUGCUUCGAUGGCGAUUCAUUUUAUUUUAUAUAUAUGUAUAUAAUAUCAAUUGACACCAGUGUCGAUCUAAGUAAAUAUUCACUGUUCAACUUUUUAUUCGUGUAAUUUUUGAAAAAAUCAACCAUUGGAUUAGAAACUUAUAUAUUAUAGAUCAUCUUAAAAAUAUUUUUUGUCAAUCUAAAAUC
Arachis duranensis is the source of this 2744-nucleotide RNA transcript. It is a transcript of the gene named E3 ubiquitin ligase PQT3-like, with no coding region annotated. The record is from RefSeq and is a predicted model, not a curated record. Lineage: Eukaryota; Viridiplantae; Streptophyta; Magnoliopsida; Fabales; Fabaceae. The transcript is spliced from 15 exons.